Molecule: ribosomal RNA, 820 nt
Filed under: uncultured bacterium
Lineage: Bacteria
Description: bacterial SSU rRNA
Rfam family: Bacterial small subunit ribosomal RNA
Source: RNAcentral
AGAGUUUGAUCCUGGCUCAGGACGAACGCUGGCGGCACGCCUAACACAUGCAAGUCGAACGGAGAAUUUAGGUUUACUUGAAUUCUUAGUGGCGGACGGGUGAGUAACACGUGAGCAACCUGCCUUUGAGAGAGGGAUAGCUUCUGGAAACGGAUGGUAAUACCUCAUAACAUAUAUUUAAGGCAUCUUAGAUAUAUCAAAGAUUUAUCACUCAAAGAUGGGCUCGCGUCUGAUUAGCUAGAUGGUGAGGUAACGGCCCACCAUGGCAACGAUCAGUAGCCGGACUGAGAGGUUGAACGGCCACAUUGGGACUGAGACACGGCCCAGACUCCUACGGGAGGCAGCAGUGGGGAAUAUUGCACAAUGGGGGAAACCCUGAUGCAGCGAUGCCGCGUGGAGGAAGAAGGUUUUCGGAUUGUAAACUCCUGUCUUAAGGGACGAUAAUGACGGUACCUUAGGAGGAAGCUCCGGCUAACUACGUGCCAGCAGCCGCGGUAAUACGUAGGGAGCGAGCGUUGUCCGGAAUUACUGGGUGUAAAGGGAGCGUAAGCGGGAUGGCAAGUCAGAUGUGAAAACUAUGGGCUCAACCCAUAGACUGCAUUUGAAACUGUUGUUCUUGAGUGAAGUAUAGGUAAGCGGAAUUUCCUAGUGUUACGGUGAAAUGCGUUAGAUAUUACGAGGAACAUCGGUGGCCGAAGCUGCUUACUGGGCCUUUUACUGACGCUAAGGUUCCAAACCGGGGGGAGCAAAACGGGAUAAGAUCCCCUGGUGGCCCCCCAUGUAAAUGAAGAUAACUAGGAGGUGGGUGACUACCCCCUGU